This is a long non-coding RNA of Ricinus communis (castor bean), 818 nucleotides long. RefSeq lists it as uncharacterized. Lineage: Eukaryota; Viridiplantae; Streptophyta; Magnoliopsida; Malpighiales; Euphorbiaceae. The record is from RefSeq and is a predicted model, not a curated record. The transcript is spliced from 3 exons.
UAAUCGCUAAGCUUAAUUGGAGGGACCAAAUGCAAGCUUCCCUAAGAUAAUAAACCAAAAAAAUAAAAAUCUAAUCACCUUCCCCUCCUUCCUCACGCUGUACCCACUCCCUUCCUUAUUUUCUUCCAUAACCACCGCCUCCUUUCUACCAACCAGCCACCCAAAGCACUUCAUUCUCCUUUUUUUGUUCCUUUCUCACCGGUGACCUCCAUUACACUCCCCUUUUGCCGAAAAUCAACAACUUCAGUGGGUGGAGUUGUCCUUUUCGGCUGCGAUCUCUAGACCACCACCUUGUCGGCCUCUUCUCUCAAAUUUGACCCUAAAAAUGGACUCCUCACCAUCAAAAACCUCAAGACAGCCUAUCUCCGUCCCCAAAUGUUAUCGUUUAGCUCAGUCCAAGACUCACCGAAGCUGAAAUAUUUCGUCCUUGGUCCGGUGGCUUCUGUUGAGAUUCCUGCAAAGAUAAUUGCAUACUUGGACUCUACACAUCCGAAACUUCACAUAAUCCGACGGUUCAGCUAGCUCCGCUAGAGGCGUAAGAGCAGCUGAAGAAAAUUCAACAGAACUAUGACAAUUAGGUUAUCUACAGUUCCUCUUAUUUUGGCUGCCUGAUUCUUUUCUUCCUCGAACUUAAUAUAACUAUUUUUCUUGUAUUUCUAAUUACUUAAAUUUUUAGAUACUCUGCAGUAUUUGCAUUCAGAUUUGUUAUUUCUAUUCGAUUUAAUGAACAAUCUGUUGAUGUAUUAAUUUUAUUAUUGUUGAUGAACCGGUAUAAAUUCUAUUUUAAUUGUGUGGAUGAAUAUUAGUAAAUGAAAUAU